GGAAGCCUGCUUCAAGAAAUUAUUAAGAUACACAUAAGGGAGAUGUUAGAAAGAAGAGGGAAAAAACUUUGAUGGUGUAUUCAGUAGUUUUAUAUUGAUUGAGCACAAUAGCACAAACAAAAAAAAUUAGCAGUGACCUAAAGAAAGCAGGAGCUUAUGGAUGGUCUUGCAUAGCACCAAAUACCUUAGUAGACACUAUUUGUUCACGCUGUAUCCAUACUAUAUAUGCCAAUAGAAAGCAUAAUAUUCCAAGUUUCAUGCUCUAUCUAUGCUGCAUGCAGCACCGAAGCAAAUUUUCUCACACAAGAUCAAACAAGCAAGACAUGGCACCACAGAAAUAGGUCCCUA
RNAcentral lists this unclassified non-coding RNA (348 nucleotides) under Hevea brasiliensis (rubber tree). Lineage: Eukaryota; Viridiplantae; Streptophyta; Magnoliopsida; Malpighiales; Euphorbiaceae. The record is from RNAcentral.